Molecule: ribosomal RNA, 253 nt
Filed under: uncultured bacterium
Lineage: Bacteria
Description: partial 16S ribosomal RNA
Rfam family: Bacterial small subunit ribosomal RNA
Source: RNAcentral
UACGAAGGGGGCUAACGUUGCUCGGAAUCACUGGGCGUAAAGCGCACGUAGGCGGCUUUUUAAGUCAGGGGUGAAAUCCUGGAGCUCAACUCCAGAACUGCCUUUGAUACUGAGAAGCUUGAGUCCGGGAGAGGUGAGUGGAACUGCGAGUGUAGAGGUGAAAUUCGUAGAUAUUCGCAAGAACACCAGUGGCGAAGGCGGCUCACUGGCCCGGUACUGACGCUGAGGUGCGAAAGCGUGGGGAGCAAACAGG